Molecule: long non-coding RNA, 711 nt
Filed under: Heterocephalus glaber (naked mole-rat)
Lineage: Eukaryota; Metazoa; Chordata; Mammalia; Rodentia; Bathyergidae
Description: lncRNA (ENSHGLG00000038519.1)
Source: RNAcentral
GGGAGACAGCCCUGUCUGGCAGGCGAUUAUAAACAAAUUAGCUUCAACCUAGCAAGGGUGCCAGCAGAGGAAUACAAUAUGGGUACAGGGAGAGCCCCAGAGAGCCUGGCUUGAUGACUUUCUCAAUCCAAACAAUUGUGUUUACAGAAAAUCCUCAUCUGAAACCAGGGUCCUGGCUGACCUUUGAACGUGACCUUCAGGGGAUGGUGGACGUCAUAAUCAUCCAGGAUACAAGAAAUGCACCAUCCUCCACUGAGACACUGGCUCUGCACGGGCAUUUGCUGAGGGCUAUCAACUCCUGGACAAAUGCAGGCAUUUUUUCAGUUGACAUCUAGAAGCUCUGGUUCUCUACCUUGCCGUCUACUGUCUUAUCCAGUGGUCACCUCUAUUCAAAUCCAGAACUGGUCUGCAAAGGUGCCAGCUAUCAAGCACAUCCAUCCACAUAGAGCUCUGCAGGGCCACACUGUGCCCCACUAAGGCCGGAAGGAAUCCCGCACACUUCCGGUCCCGUGUCCUUGGCCAGGACAGCACCAUCUCCUGUCGUCACAAGGGAGAGAAGGACGAGAGAGUGCAAGGUGCAAUUUGGAGGCGUUUUAUGCAUUCUCAGUGCUGUGCAGCCAGCACCUCUCUCCAGCUCCAAAACACCUUCGUCACCCCAAAAGGAAACCUUGUAAGCAGCCACACCCAGCAACCGCUAACCCGCUUUCCGCC